This 72-nucleotide transfer RNA is filed under the name Actinomycetes bacterium. Its description in RNAcentral is "Actinobacteria bacterium tRNA-Val". It matches the Rfam family "tRNA". Rfam says of the family: Transfer RNA (tRNA) molecules are approximately 80 nucleotides in length. Their secondary structure includes four short double-helical elements and three loops (D, anti-codon, and T loops). Lineage: Bacteria; Bacillati; Actinomycetota; Actinomycetes. The record is from RNAcentral.
GGGCGUUUAGCUCAGGGGUAGAGUGCUUCCUUGACGUGGAAGAUGUCAGAGGUUCAAAUCCUCUAACGCCCA